GGUGAGGUAUAGAAAAUAAGUGAAAAGAUGAAGCUGCUACAAUCCAGUGUUCUAGGUACAAAGGAAUUCUUCACAAUGAUCAUGUACUUGCAAUCAAAAGAACUCGACGGGGAUCGUUAGAGGGUGCACAAGAAUUUAAAAACGAUAUAAAAAUUAAUGUCGAGAAUCCCUUCAAUUCACAGCCUGACUCACAUGAAAAACUAGAAGAAACCAAGUUGUCAAAAUCAUCCACAAGACGACCAGCAUUUUUGUAUAGGUUGAAGGUGACAUUCAGGUCCUUGUCCCAUUAGUUGCAGGAAAAAAGUGUAAUGAGAGAAUACAAGGCAAGUGACUCAUUCAUACCCACAAUUAACAUUUUGUAGAUCUUGAUAUUGGAAUAGUGUACUUGUAUGUUGUAGGGUGUAACAUUACUCUCUUAUCUUCCAAUUUAUUGAAUACAAAUAAUAGUCAUUCUUUUGUAA
Long non-coding RNA from Helianthus annuus (common sunflower), 461 nucleotides. RefSeq lists it as uncharacterized. The record is from RefSeq and is a predicted model, not a curated record. The transcript has 2 exons. NCBI's taxonomy places the organism in Eukaryota, Viridiplantae, Streptophyta, Magnoliopsida, Asterales, Asteraceae.